RNAcentral lists this ribosomal RNA (520 nucleotides) under uncultured Glomus. RNAcentral's name for it is "SSU rRNA". It matches the Rfam family "Eukaryotic small subunit ribosomal RNA", at positions 569 to 1089 of the family's 1831-position model. The record is from RNAcentral. Lineage: Eukaryota; Fungi; Glomeromycota; Glomeromycetes; Glomerales; Glomeraceae.
AGCAGCCGCGGUAAUUCCAGCUCCAAUAGCGUAUAUUAAAGUUGUUGCAGUUAAAAAGCUCGUAGUUGAAUUUCGAGACCGGCUUACUGGUCGUGCUAUUGUACGUACUGGUAUAAUCGGUUUCUCCUUUCUGACGAACUAUAAUGCCAUUAAUUUGGUGUUAUAGGGAAUCAGGACUGUUACUUUGAAAAAAUUGAAGUGUUUAAAGCAGGCUCACGCUUGAAUACAUUAGCAUGGAAUAACGGAAUAGGACGUUUGAUUCUAUUUUGUUGGUUUCUAGGAUCGACGUAAUGAUUAAUAGGGAUAGUUGGGGGCAUUAGUAUUCAAUUGUCAGAGGUGAAAUUCUUGGAUUUAUUGAAGACUAACUACUGCGAAAGCAUUUGCCAAGGAUGUUUUCAUUAAUCAAGAACGAAAGUUAGGGAUCGAAGACGAUCAGAUACCGUCGUAGUCUUAACCAUAAACUAUAGCCGACUAGGGAUCGGGAUGGAUGUUAAUUUUUAUGUACUCAUUUCGGCGUCCU